CAUCGCGAGGUGGAAUCUGAAAGAAGUCAGCGGCAAACAUCUGGUCUGACGAACAGAAACUUGAUACAAGGCUAAAGUAUGUGGAUAAGGUGGCAAAAAGCACUGAAGUCCUAUAACUAUCCGGAACAUACAUAGUAAAUCAAGCAGACAUAAGAUGGAAAGACAG
Molecule: non-coding RNA, 166 nt
Filed under: uncultured Prevotella sp.
Lineage: Bacteria; Pseudomonadati; Bacteroidota; Bacteroidia; Bacteroidales; Prevotellaceae
Source: RNAcentral